This 384-nucleotide ribosomal RNA is filed under the name uncultured Pseudoalteromonas sp. Its description in RNAcentral is "partial 16S ribosomal RNA". It matches the Rfam family "Bacterial small subunit ribosomal RNA", at positions 346 to 722 of the family's 1533-position model. Lineage: Bacteria; Pseudomonadati; Pseudomonadota; Gammaproteobacteria; Alteromonadales; Pseudoalteromonadaceae. The record is from RNAcentral.
AGGCAGCAGUAGGGAAUAUUGCACAAUGUGCGCAUUCCUGAUGCACCCCUGCCGCGUGUGUGAAGAAAGCCUUCCUGUUGUAAAGCACUUUCACUCAAGAAAGAAAAGUUAUUAUUUAAUACCCGCUAUCUGUGACCUUUCUGACAAAAAAAACCCCCGCUCACUCCCUGCCCGCCCCCCCCGUCAUACGGAGGGUGCCAGCCUUAAUCCUAAUUACUGGGCGUAAAUCCUACGCAGGCUGUUUGUUAAACUAGAAUGAAAGCCCCCGCCUCCACCUAGGAACUUCAUUUCUAACUGGCUAACUAUAUUGUGAUAGAGGGUGGUAUAAUUUCAUGUGUAUCAGUAAUAUGCGCACAGAUCUAAGAGACUACCGAUAGCGAAGGC